Molecule: long non-coding RNA, 1680 nt
Filed under: Populus tremula
Lineage: Eukaryota; Viridiplantae; Streptophyta; Magnoliopsida; Malpighiales; Salicaceae
Description: long non-coding RNA (PTRE_LNC000885)
Source: RNAcentral
GAUGAAACCGAAAGAUAGUUAUUAAAACAAAAAUAAUAAUUCAUAAUACUCAUUACAUUGUCAAAAUCCAAAUUUAAUUAAACCAAGGUAACAGUGGAGCGUCUAAGACAUCAAAACAAAACUGAAAGGAAAGCCUCGCGAACAAGCAAGGCAUACCGACCAGAACAGAAGAAGCGGAAACACUCAACAAAGUCCCAGAAACUAAGAACCUGAAAUAAUAUUAAAAAAAUGAGGGGUGAGUUCAACCAACUCAGUGAGGGAAUAACAUUUAAUAUACAUUUCAUAUAUUUCAGAUAUUAAUAAUUUGUAAGAUGAUUUAUCUUAAUAUACAUAUACAUAUACAUAUACUUACUAAACAUAUUAUCAUAACGUAACAUAUUAUCAUAACGUAGUGGAUUACAUGUCAGAGAUCAGAUGACACCCGAAGGUGACCAGAUGACACCCGUCGGUGACCACUGUGGGAUGAUCAAUCGCCACAGGCUGAUGCCUCUCUCACCAGCUAGGUAUACAGAAUACUAUGUGCACACAGGCUAACUAUUCUCCGUUAGCAUGGAGUACUGACAAGUCCCAUAUCAAGGCAUAACAGAUAUUCACAUAAUCAUCAAAGAAACGUAUAUCAUAUCAAAUAGAAUUUACUUUAACAGAUUGCGAGUGCAAAUUCAAGAAUAAAUGAGUACUCGGAAAAUAAAGCAACAUAUAUAAAUAUUCAAGAAAUUUACUAGUUGUACUCAUUGUAUAAUCAACAUACAUAUUUAUUUAUAUUAUAUGCAUAUUAAAGAUUAUUCCACUCACCCGGAAAAUAUAGAACUAAAAGGAAUGUCAGACAAAAGACCCGGAAAUCCGAUUAAGGAUCGUUAGGAGAACCUACAAUAAAUAUAUGAAAUAUACUCAAAAAAGAUCAAACAAAAGAUCCCAAAGCAUAAAAUAAACCGGGCUUAAUCUCCCAAGUUUAGGGACUAAAACGACAAUUUUCCAAAAUAGGGACCAAAACGUAAUUUUACCAAAUUUUGAGGACCGAACUGUAAAUAUAUACCAUACUGAAAUUUAUCCAUAAUUAAUCCUCAAUUCUGUCCAGGAUAUAUCAUUAUGCUCCAAGGACCAUUCUGGAACUUUACCAAAUUUUUAGGGUCAAAUUAUACUUUUUGUCAAAUUGGAGGACCAAACUGAAAAUAUUAAUUAUACUGGAAUUUUGUCCUUAAAUCAUCCUCAGUUCUGUUCAGAACCUCAAUUUAUGCCCCAGGGACCAAUCUGUAAAAUUUCCAAAGUUCGGGGACUAAACUGCAAUUUCCAAAUUGAGGGACCAAACUGAAUUUUCGUCAUCUUCAACCUCAAACCCAGAAUUUCAACAGAUCACCUACUGUUAGUUCCAGAUUUAUACCUCAACUUCAUCAUUCAAUUCAACCAUAACUCAAAAUCAUCAUAUUUCUCUACAAUCUCUCCAAUUCAACUAAAUAAUCAAAUACCACAUCAAUCAACCCUUAAUUCAAACUAAUUCAUCAAUAACUCAAAAUUCAAAACUCUAAAAUUAAUCAAAACCGAAAUUUAAAGCUAAAGAAAACAUAUUAUACAUAUUCAAGCAUAAUCUUACCCUUUUACUUGUUUUCUUCAACCUUUCCUUUUUCUUAUUUUCCCCUCUUUUCUCUUCUUCUUCUUCUUCCUCUCUUCUCUCCUGCCGGUUCU